Molecule: long non-coding RNA, 6101 nt
Filed under: Medicago truncatula (barrel medic)
Lineage: Eukaryota; Viridiplantae; Streptophyta; Magnoliopsida; Fabales; Fabaceae
Description: long non-coding RNA (MTRU_LNC005035)
Source: RNAcentral
CGUCCGGGGAAACUGGGCCUCUGUUGCUGUCGUCCUUGUUGUCGCUCUUGAGUUUCAGGGAACUCGACCUCUGGGUUUCCGCCAAGGUAAAAUACCUGCCAACACAAUUUACAUGUGAUUAAUUGAGUUGAAAAUUUUAUAAACAUUUGUAAACUGUAUAAAGGUUUUAUAAGUCUCUGCAACAGCAUCAUAAAAGUAAAAUCUAUAACACAUAAUUUAAUGUAUAGUUAUACUUAUACUUACUCUGGGGGUUGAAUCGAGCUGGUUUACAAAGCUGGAGGUGUCGAGAAGACUAAUAGCAACAAUAGGUUCUUGACCAUGGUUAUAGGUCCAGUAAGGAGUUCCAGCUGGAAUGGCAAUGACAUCACCUCUGUAGAAGCGACGAAUCUUCUGGUGGCUGUCAGGUUGCUGCUGCUGUUGUUCCUGAUGCCUGGAUCCUUGUCUAGACCGUGAUGAUUGUGGCUGUUCAAAAGUCUCAGGACAACCAGGAACUGAAAGUCCAAGCACUCCCUUUCCUGUACAUAUAGAACAAAAUUCAGUCACAAAACAAUUUAAUGCAUGCAUUAUAUAGAAUACUUAGCAAUUAAUAUACUUAAUCAUCAUUAUGUUAAUAUAGAAUAGUUACCUUGGAUGAUGAAAAUCAACUGUGGAGAAGGUGAGUAUGAUGGCAAGUGAAGGCCAUUAGGGUCAAUGGUGCGUCUGAUAAGAGAGACACCGGCACAUUGUAGCUCAGGGUGGUUUGGAUUCCAUGUCUCAGUGAGACCAGCUUCAUGCUCAACACGGUGGUCUGGUUCCAAUGCAUUGAUAUUGUUCAGCUGGCAUUGGUUGAACCUUUCAUACUCAGAGCGUGUAGCUAAACAUGUAAAAAGCAGCAAGGAAAGAGAAAGCAAAGAUAGAGAGAACUUCCUCAUUGUGUUUGUGAGUUUGGUGAAUGAAUUGGUGAAGAGAAGAACCUGUGGAGUGGUGAUUUAUAGUAAGAAGAGAAGAGUGAGGAAGGGACACGUCACACAGUGUAGGUUGCUAGUUCAUGACAUUCUUCACCAUGCAUGCCUAUGAAUUCUUAAUUUCCUACACAUCACAUUAAGAUAUAUGUGCACAGAGACAUCACAGAGUGUAUAUUUGUUGGUAUCUUUACAUAUGGAAUCAUGACUGCAGUUAAAUGAAUGAGAACAAAUGUAUAUGGCAUGGGAUGGUCCCAUGCAUUCUGCGUCGAUUCUUUACAUGUUGAUAUCAUUACUUCUUUUUCACUUUACUUAAUUCAUUUACAGUUUUCAUUAAGCAGUAACAGUGUUGCUCAGACUCAAAUAUAUAGAUGUAUGUAGUGAUUAAAGUAGAAAUUCUAGCUUAAUAGUACCUCUCUUUGUUAUUAUCAAUCUGUAGCCUUCGCAACAGAAACAGCAUAACUUAAGCGUAAAACAUUUUUACUCAUGCAUCAAAAUAGAAAUAUUUUAAAAUCUAACUUAUAAAAGUAUGAUAUAGUUUGAUUGCAUGCGUUUGUAAAAAAUUUUUUUUACACCAUCAGUGCAUAUAUAACUUAAUCUCUUAAAAUUUAUGCUCUGAAAGUUCAGUAUUUACCUUCCAGUUGUUUGAAUUCAAGUAAGCUCUAGAGAAUUCAGGUUGAUUGUUGUCAUUGAUGUUUAAAUCAAUGCAGUGCAUUUGGUGCAUAUUUGGAUUCCCUUUUGUAAGAUCCAAAAAUAUUCUAGACACAUAAAUUAAAAUUGCUUGAUAUAUUUAAGCGUUCUAUAAAAUAAAUUCUAGCUCAAAUAUGUAAUUAGAUGUUUUGCCUCUUUAUAAGAUUUUUAACUUCAAAUUAUUGUUGAACACAUUUAUGUAAAUGUAUAUAAACAUAGACCAAUGUACAUUCAACUCAUGACUUUAAAGUUUUAACUAAAAUUCAUUUUCACCACCACAAAACCAAACAUGCUAGAAAAUACUGGGUGGACUCACCAGAUGUACAUAGAUGUAUAAAAUAAAAUUCAAAAACUCAAUUUCUAACAUACCUUUACCUUUAAAAACACAUGAUAAUCCAAAAAUUUCCAUGUCUACAUUUUUGUGUCCUUUCUGCACUCACUGCAUACUAAUUUCUAUUCAAAACUAUAAGACAACUGAACAAAUAUAUGUAAAUAAAAAAACAACCUUCUACGUGUAUUGUUGUUGCUUCUCCUGUUGUUUUAAUCUAUUUGCAACUGUAUCAGGACUAAACUCAUGUUCAUUCUCUUCUUCGUCAUGUUCCGAACAAACCUCUUGCAACAAUUCAUCCACCUCCCUUACAAAGUUCACUCUUAAUAGAGUAUUAUCAUCAGAGUUCAAGUGGUGGUCGCAAUGGCCUGUGAUGCUGAUAGCAUACAACAUUGAAAACAAAAAAAUUAUGAUUCAAGCAGAUAUCAAGUCUAACAUAUGAUUUUCAGUUUAGAUGGUAUCUGUACCAUCCUACUUUUAUGUUUUAACUAAACUUAAGUGCAAAAUAAAUUACCAAUUACGUUUAAUCACUUAAUAUCAACCGAUAAAUACAUAAACUUGAAUCAAGUUUACCAACUUAUAUCAAUGGUUGAUUUCAAUUUUUACUGUGAACUUAUUUUUGUUAACCAUUGAUUAAUUAGUUAUUUAAAUAUAGAUUUGUAUGUCGAACUAAGGUAUCAGUUAUUAUAGAGAAAGAGACACAAACUAAUAGGAGCUAAUGUACAUCAAUUGUCUAAGAUCCAGUCCUUUUAAUUUGGUGCAACUUACCUUAUCUAUUGAGGCAAUCUCAUUGCAGGGGUAGCCUCUCGUUUGAAAAUCUCAGUCUGUUAUAUGCAAAUUUUUAAUAACAAAGUUUCGAGCGAACUAGGUUCAUUUUUUUCAAAGAUCGAGAACAAGCCAGAAGUUCGAAGACUGCUAUUUCGAAGAUUUUCAAAAAUCAACGUCUAGGGUUAUUCGAAAGUCCAAGUUACACAACUUCUAUAAACUUUCAUAUCAACUAUGUUCAGGAAGUCUUUUGAGCAAUCAGUUAUAUGCUUCUCCGAGUCAAAAAUUCAAAUAUGAAAGAAGAAACUUGCAGAAGGCUCUUGGAAGUUAGAAGACACGUGACAUCCACACAUGUUACAGAUUAAUUUAUUUCUUAGUCCAUAAAUUGUAUAAUCAAACUCCAUGUAAAUGAGUUCAUUUAUAUUCCACAACACUAUGUCUAAUAGACAGCGCAUCUGCCCUCACGGGAUAACUUCUUACUGACAAUAUUGAAUCAUUGAUGUAUGAAACAUUCAAACCUAUUAAUAUAUUUUUCUUUUUGCAUACUUAGUGCCUUUACCAUUUUUUGUGUCCAUUCAUUUAUUCGAUUUCUAACUAUGCACUAGUUAUUUGAUGCGGAAACUAGAUAUAGUGCUACUGGAAAGCUAUGUUAAGCUUUAUAUUACUCCAGCACAACUGAAAUAUUACCUGAAACCUUUCAAGGUGAUUGUAAUUUCUUAUUAGGAUGUAAUAGAACACUUGUUAUCAAAAACCUUUUCUGCAUAGUAGAGUGGGCAAAUGAGCACUAGCGUUAACUGAACUUUCAUUGACUUUUGUUUCGUUAAAAGCAAUGAAAGCCAAAGUAAUUGUUGAUUUCUUUGCUAACUAUUUUGUUGAUAGUGAUGAUGAUUUCGAACAAGAAUACAUAUGUUUGAAUCCUUGGAAACUAUAUUUUGAUGUUUCAUGCCAUGGUAAAGGUAGUAGAAAUUGAGAUGUUGAUAAUUCAACCUGAUGAGGUAUAUCCAACUAAAUUCAUGUACAAAUUAUCGAUCAAAUGUUUGAAUAAUGAAGCAUUUAUAUUUCAACCUAAAAAAUGUUUUCAAUAAUAAUAAUACCAAAUAGUUUUUUUUCUUCUUUCUAUUUCAACUUUUUCCAAUUUGUGAGUGUGCCUAAACCAUUUAUAUUUAUGGUUGUGACCAUACAAGCAUUACUCAACCCAUAUAUACAUAACAUAUGAGAAAAUAUUCAAUCUCCUCCCGUUCUCUCAUAUUGUCGCCAAAUUGUCCAAUUUUCUAACAUUCUUGUCUUUUCUUAUCAUUCAUAUAUUGGAUCCAAACAAAACAAUUAACUUUGCUACCGGCAUUAAUCAAAUAAAAAAUGAAUGUUUUGAGGACAACAUGCAGAAGAAGAACAAGAAGUCGUUCGCUUAGUAUACAAGUAAAGAACAACAUGCAGAUAGGAAUGACUUUAUGAACUUUUAUCUUGUUUUUAUGGGUGUGAUUUAAAUGCUAAAAGUCAAAACUCACCAUAAACGAUGAAGAUGACGAAGAAGAAAGUUUAGAAAAAUGUGUCUGCAUUUUUUUUUAUCAUAAUUGGAAGGUGUAUUACUGGCAUGAAUGCAGCCUAUAGUGUUAUUCACCACUUGUACAUACAUGUAUACUAGUAGUUUAGAUUAAGAUCCUGGUUAGAGAUAUCGUCUACAAGAUAUAAAUAAUGUUCAAGUGAAGAAUAAAAUUGUAAUUAAAAGCAAAGCAAAUACUACGUCAAAACUUGGGUAUUCAUUAUAUUGAUUAUUUCAAGAACUGAAGUUCUUGGCUACAGUACACCCAAAUUUAUUUUAUAAUUAUUUCAAGACAAGCCACCUCAUAUUGCAUUGCAUAGCAUGCAUUGUUUUAUUGAGAUUGUGAUUGUUUUACUAAGAUUGUGGUUGAGAUUGAGGAUGAACCAAAGGACCACGGUUUCCACUGAACUUGAUUUGAGUGACAUCACGUGGACGAAGGCCGAAAGCAUUUUCAAGAACCUCGCGAGGGGUGGCCCUGAACACCUGCUUCACAUGGUUAACAGCAGCUAGGUCGUUUGUCUUGAAAACCACAUACUCUAAUGCUUCUUCGUUCCCUGCUUGUUCCGCCACCACGAAGUUUUGUGGCACCACCAACAACUGUCCCCUUCUUACAUUGUCAUCGAACACCGCGUUGCCUUGGCAGUUCACUAUCCUAACUCUUCCUUGUCCUCUAAUCACGUACAAAAGGCUGUUGGCGUUGAUGUUCCAGUGUGGAGCAUAUAUGCCAUUCUGUAAAUCAUGGAAAUGUACACAUUGAUUAAAUAAUUAGUACUAUAUAUUUAAACCAAGUACAUUUUGACUUUUGCUUAAAUUUAAGACGGAGUAGUACUAUCAUACCCUGUAGAGGAGAACAUAUUCAGCACUGAGGCGUAAAUUGCGAAGGAUUGGGAGGGUUAAACUGUUAGCAUCGCUGAUGCGACCUGCACGUGGGUUGUAGAGAUCUGCACGUGCAGGGCGAGCGAUGUUCUCCACAAUCCUUAAACUGCAGAUAGUUUCUUCCAAACCAUUUUGACUAUGUCCGCUGUGUCUUGGGUCUCGUUCUCUUUCUUCCUGGCCAUGUCCGGGACGUCUUGGAUCCCAUUCUCUUUCUUUCUGACUAUGUCCGGGACGUCUUGGGUCUCGUUCUCUUUCUUCCUGGCUAUGUCUGGGAUAUCUUGUUUCCCAUUGUUCUUCCUCACUAGGUUUCUGAUGCCCUGGUCUACGAAUGUGUCUUGGUCUCCGUUCAUCUUCUUCCUCCUCGUGACUUCUUUCGUAUUCUUCAUCUUCUUGCUGCCACUCAGGGCUGAUGAUGCUGAGACCGCCCUCUACUCUCACGAUUUGGCUCCUCUGGUCGCGUGGAGAUUGAAGUCUCUUAGCUGUAUCCUGAUCCGUGUUGAGUGCCUGCGCUAAAAACUCUGAGCUGAAACCACUCAGCACACUGCUACCUUCGUUUUGUUCCUCAGAUCCCUCCUCUUGUUGUUGGCGUCCUCCUCUACGUCCGGGGAAACUGGGCCUCUGUUGCUGUCGUCCUUGUUGUCGCUCUUGAGUUUCAGGGAACUCGACCUCUGGGUUUCCGCCAAGGUAAAAUACCUGCCAACACAAUUUACAUGUGAUUAAUUGAGUUGAAAAAUUUAUAAACAUUAGUAAACUGUAUAAAGGUUUUAUAAGUCUCUGCAACAGCAUCAUAAAAGUAAAAUCUAUAACACAUAAUUUAAUGUAUAGUUAUACUUAUACUUACUCUGGGGGUUGAAUCGAGCUGGUUUACAAAGUUGGAGGUGUCAAGAAGACUAAUGGCAACAAGAGGUUCUUGACCAUGGUUAUAGGUCCAGUAAGGAGUUCCAGCUGGAAUGGCAAUGAC